GCUGCUCCUAGUACGAGAGGACCGGAGUGGACGCAUCACUGGUGUUCGGGUUGUCAUGCCAAUGGCACUGCCCGGUAGCUAAAUGCGGAAGAGAUAAGUGCUGAAAGCAUCUAAGCACGAAACUUGCCCCGAGAUGAGUUCUCCCUGACCCUUUAAGGGUCCUGAAGGAACGUUGAAGACGACGACGUUGAUAGGCCGGGUGUGUAAGCGCAGCGAUGCGUUGAGCUAACCGGUACUAAUGAACCGUGAGGCUUAACCUUACAACGCCGAAGCUGUU
This 277-nucleotide ribosomal RNA is filed under the name Escherichia coli. Its description in RNAcentral is "partial 23S ribosomal RNA". It matches the Rfam family "Bacterial large subunit ribosomal RNA", at positions 2671 to 2925 of the family's 2925-position model. The record is from RNAcentral. Lineage: Bacteria; Pseudomonadati; Pseudomonadota; Gammaproteobacteria; Enterobacterales; Enterobacteriaceae. RNAcentral also lists the same sequence under 2 other names.